RNAcentral lists this transfer RNA (82 nucleotides) under Acinetobacter sp. WC-323. RNAcentral describes it as "tRNA-Leu". It matches the Rfam family "tRNA". Rfam says of the family: Transfer RNA (tRNA) molecules are approximately 80 nucleotides in length. Their secondary structure includes four short double-helical elements and three loops (D, anti-codon, and T loops). Lineage: Bacteria; Pseudomonadati; Pseudomonadota; Gammaproteobacteria; Moraxellales; Moraxellaceae. The record is from RNAcentral.
GGCGUGGCGAAAUUGGUAGACGCACUGGAUUUAGGUUCCAGCGCCGCAAGGUGUAAGAGUUCGAGUCUCUUCGCCCCCACCA